UCCAACGUUGCUGGAACACCAAGCGCAGGGCAGGGAGUGGAGGGCGUUCAGGCUGGAGCGCUGGGCCUAGCAAGGUGCAGCAGGCAGCAAGCCCGCGCAGUUCUCGCUGACCCGGUACCGGGAGGGCCGCUUACGCAAUUCGCGAGUGAACGAAUCUGGGCGCCCGCCCGCGGAGAGGCUGUCAGUGACGGUCCCGGUGGACUUGGAAGACUGCAUAGAUGCCUCUCUGCUGCCACACAGCAGGGGAGACUGUCCUGGGACCAUUUGCACAAAAUCAAGUUCAAGUUGCAGGAGCUGGCGGCACCCAUUGGUAGGCACUGGUUGUGACUCUCCAGUAUUUCCCUAUAGAACCAAUAGGAUGAUCCUGGUUUUCGGAACGAAACAGAGUGUUCAAAACUUGCAUCCUAGAAAAUCCGAGAUACUGGUGAGUUUGGCUACAAUUAUUGUAAAAUAAAAAACAUUUUAUGUUUGGCA
Molecule: long non-coding RNA, 474 nt
Organism: Peromyscus eremicus (cactus mouse)
Lineage: Eukaryota; Metazoa; Chordata; Mammalia; Rodentia; Cricetidae
Exons: 2
Source: RefSeq, a predicted model, not a curated record